Molecule: ribosomal RNA, 24 nt
Filed under: Dendrocalamus giganteus
Lineage: Eukaryota; Viridiplantae; Streptophyta; Magnoliopsida; Poales; Poaceae
Also listed under: 2 other names
Description: partial 26S ribosomal RNA
Source: RNAcentral
UUUAAGCAUAUCAAUAAGCGGAGG